AUUAAUUUGAGAGUUUGAUCCUGGCUCAGGACGAACGCUGGCGGCGUGCCUAAUACAUGCAAGUCGAACGAACUCUGGUAUUGAUUGGUGCUUGCAUCAUGAUUUACAUUUGAGUGAGUGGCGAACUGGUGAGUAACACGUGGGAAACCUGCCCAGAAGCGGGGGAUAACACCUGGAAACAGAUGCUAAUACCGCAUAACAACUUGGACCGCAUGGUCCGAGYUUGAAAGAUGGCUUCGGCUAUCACUUUUGGAUGGUCCCGCGGCGUAUUAGCUAGAUGGUGGGGUAACGGCUCACCAUGGCAAUGAUACGUAGCCGACCUGAGAGGGUAAUCGGCCACAUUGGGACUGAGACACGGCCCAAACUCCUACGGGAGGCAGCAGUAGGGAAUCUUCCACAAUGGACGAAAGUCUGAUGGAGCAACGCCGCGUGAGUGAAGAAGGG
This 444-nucleotide ribosomal RNA is filed under the name Lactiplantibacillus plantarum. Its description in RNAcentral is "bacterial SSU rRNA". It matches the Rfam family "Bacterial small subunit ribosomal RNA", at positions 1 to 415 of the family's 1533-position model. Lineage: Bacteria; Bacillati; Bacillota; Bacilli; Lactobacillales; Lactobacillaceae. The record is from RNAcentral.